GACGAACGCUGGCGGCGUGCCUAAUACAUGCAAGUCGAACGAGAGCAACCGGUGCUUGCACUGGUCAAUCUAGUGGCGAACGGGUGAGUAACACGUGGGUAACCUGCCCAUCAGAGGGGGAUAACAUCCGGAAACGGAUGCUAAAACCGCAUAGGUCUUCGAACCGCAUGGUUUGAAGAGGAAAAGAGGCGCAAGCUUCUGCUGAUGGAUGGACCCGCGGUGCAUUAGCUAUUUGGUGAGGUAACGGCUCACCAAGGCCGUGAUGCAUAGCCGCCCUGAGGGGGUGAUCGGCCACAUUGGGACUGAGACACGGCCCAAACUCCUACGGGAGGCAGCAGUAGGGAAUCUUCCGCAAUGGACGCAAGCCUGACGGAGCAACGCCGCGUGAGUGAAGAAGGUUCUCGGAUCGUAAAACUCUGUUGUUAGAGAAGAACAAGUGCUAGAGUAACUGUUAGCGACUUGACGGUAUCUAACCAGAAAGCCACGGCUAACUACGUG
RNAcentral lists this ribosomal RNA (498 nucleotides) under uncultured bacterium. RNAcentral describes it as "partial 16S ribosomal RNA". It matches the Rfam family "Bacterial small subunit ribosomal RNA", at positions 28 to 507 of the family's 1533-position model. The record is from RNAcentral.